Molecule: small nuclear RNA, 103 nt
Organism: Dipodomys ordii (Ord's kangaroo rat)
Lineage: Eukaryota; Metazoa; Chordata; Mammalia; Rodentia; Heteromyidae
Source: Ensembl
GAAACAAUAAGGUUCCCUUGUAACAAAUAGGCACCCAAUACAGAGAUUAACAGGGCACUUGCACAAGGAUGAUAUGAAAAUUUGUGAAGUAUUCAAAAUUUUU